This 394-nucleotide RNase MRP RNA is filed under the name Aspergillus calidoustus. RNAcentral describes it as "RNase MRP". It matches the Rfam family "RNase MRP". Rfam says of the family: RNase MRP is an enzymatically active ribonucleoprotein with two distinct roles in eukaryotes. In mitochondria it plays a direct role in the initiation of mitochondrial DNA replication. In the nucleus it is involved in precursor rRNA processing, where it cleaves the internal transcribed spacer 1 between 18S and 5.8S rRNAs. The record is from Rfam by way of RNAcentral. Lineage: Eukaryota; Fungi; Ascomycota; Eurotiomycetes; Eurotiales; Aspergillaceae.
UCCUCGCUCAAAGAAUCGCAUUCAAAGCUCACACACAGAGAACCCUCGGGUCCUCUCUCUUCCUUUCUCGGGAGCGAAGAGAUCGCUUUGGGAGAAAGUCCCCGGACACCCUGUCCCUCUCUUUCAUCUGAAGGAAGGGCUUCAGGCAAUGCGGAAACGCGCCGCCAUAAAAGCAAUUUGAGAGCGGCUUACUGCCCUAUUCUCUCCCGGUUCCGAGUCUCUAUGCCCGACGCCUCCCCCUUGGGGAGGUGGAAACAAUGGCGGUAUAGCUUGGUUUCGGAGAGGGGUUUUCAUCGGGUUGCCAUUCGUCGUGUUUGGAUAGUCAUGCGAUUGCUUGGUUUGGCCCUUCGGGGCUGCACCGGGUAACUCAAUGGGGCUCAUUCUUGAGGCGAGG